UAUUUAAAAGGAAAAAACCAAGCUCCAACUAAAAAAACAGAAAAAAAAGCAGCAAAAUGGGUGGCGAUUUGAAUGUGAAAAGGACUUCCUACAGCAUCGGUGCGGCGGCGGAGCUAAUGCUGCUACAACUUCCUGAUUCACAGCGAUCCUCAAGAAUGCAAGGAUCUAUUCCCUAUCAUACCGUACUAGUUUAUAUAUAUUUCAUAUCUCUAUCUAAUAGACAGCGAAAUUUUUAUUUUUGUUUGUUAGGUGGAGAAGCGUCUAGAAGA
This 269-nucleotide unclassified non-coding RNA is filed under the name Hevea brasiliensis (rubber tree). The record is from RNAcentral. Lineage: Eukaryota; Viridiplantae; Streptophyta; Magnoliopsida; Malpighiales; Euphorbiaceae.